AGUGAACGCUGGCGGCAGGCCUAACACAUGCAAGUCGAACGGCAGCAUAGUAAUUACUGGCGGAUAGGUGAGGAGAGUGGCGGAAGGUGCAGGUAGACACCGGAAACCACUGGGAAGCGGGUGAUAACGCAGGGAGAGUUACGCGGGUACCGGAUACAUCGCACUUGGAAAGGCAGGCGUUCUAUUGACUUGUCGCUGAGGAAUAAGCCGAUGUCGGAUAAGUUAGUUGGCGGGGUAAAGGCGCACCAAGGCGACGAUCCGUAGCUGGUCUGAGAGGAUGAUCCGGCACACUGGAACUGAGGCACGGUCCAGACUCCUACGGUGAGCAGCAGUGGGGAAUAUUGGACAAUGGGCGCAAGCCUGAUCCAGCCAUACCGCGUGAGUGAAGAAGGCGUUCGGGUUGUAAAGCCCUUUUGUUGGGAAAGAAAAGCAGCAGGUUAAUACCCCGCUGUUCUGACGGUACCCAAAGAAUAAGCACCGGCUAACUUCGUG
This 492-nucleotide ribosomal RNA is filed under the name uncultured bacterium. RNAcentral describes it as "partial 16S ribosomal RNA". It matches the Rfam family "Bacterial small subunit ribosomal RNA", at positions 29 to 507 of the family's 1533-position model. The record is from RNAcentral.